Molecule: ribosomal RNA, 724 nt
Filed under: uncultured bacterium
Lineage: Bacteria
Description: bacterial SSU rRNA
Rfam family: Bacterial small subunit ribosomal RNA
Source: RNAcentral
GUUUGAUCAUGGCUCAGAGUGAACGCUGGCGGUAGGCCUAACACAUGCAAGUCGAACGGCAGCACAGGAGAGCUUGCUCUCUGGGUGGCGAGUGGCGGACGGGUGAGGAAUACAUCGGAAUCUACUCUGUCGUGGGGGAUAACGUAGGGAAACUUACGCUAAUACCGCAUACGACCUACGGGUGAAAGCAGGGGACCUUCGGGCCUUGCGCGAUUGAAUGAGCCGAUGUCGGAUUAGCUAGUUGGCGGGGUAAAGGCCCACCAAGGCGACGAUCCGUAGCUGGUCUGAGAGGAUGAUCAGCCACACUGGAACUGAGACACGGUCCAGACUCCUACGGGAGGCAGCAGUGGGGAAUAUUGGACAAUGGGCGCAAGCCUGAUCCAGCCAUACCGCAGUGGGUGAAGAAGGCCUUCGGGUUGUAAAGCCCUUUUGUUGGGAAAGAAAUCCAGCUGGCUAAUACCCGGUUGGGAUGACGGUACCCAAAGAAUAAGCACCGGCUAACUUCGUAGCCAGCAGCCGCGGUAAUACGAAGGGUGCGAGCGUUACUACGGAAUUACUGGGCGUAAAGCGUGCGUAGGUGGUCGUUUAAGUCCGUNGUGAAAGCCCUGGGCUCAACCUGGGAACUGCAGUGGAUACUGGGCGACUAGAAUGUGGUAGAGGGUAGCGGAAUUCCUGGUGUAGCACGUGAAAUGCGUAGAGAUCAGGAGGAACAUCCAUGGCGAAG